CGGUGGCUGCAUUUCGUAUCGGUGACGUUCGACGUUUGAUAGUUCAUCAAAUAGUAGCGCUGUUAUUUGGUCAAUUUGGUCACCUGUCAGCUGCGCUACUGUUUUAGCAGCGCGUUUAGUAGCGACCGGUAAAGUGUCAAGUAAUGAUACUGCGCUGACAAACGGCUUAUACUCACCACCGAAAUGAAGCUUAUGAUAAAUAAAAUACUGCUGCUUGCUGGUCACUGAUCGUUCAGUGGCUACCAUUGGCCAAUCUCACCAACGGGAUAUAAUAAGAACUGAUGCAGGUUUAUAUCUAUUCGGAACAAAGUUAGUACACUUUUUAAACCGAUGUUGGAUUUUUCUCCAGAUACAGGCAACCCACUUAACUUUGGAAGUAGUGCACUGGAUUCGUCUAAAGAUAUUGCCUGAUUUUCUAAAAAUUGCA
Long non-coding RNA from Armigeres subalbatus, 427 nucleotides. RefSeq lists it as uncharacterized. The record is from RefSeq and is a predicted model, not a curated record. The transcript has 3 exons. Lineage: Eukaryota; Metazoa; Arthropoda; Insecta; Diptera; Culicidae.